UAGAGUUUGAUCCUGGCUCAGAUUGAACGCUGGCGGCAUGCCUUACACAUGCAAGUCGAACGGCAGCACGGGAGCAAUCCUGGUGGCGAGUGGCGAACGGGUGAGUAAUACAUCGGAACGUGCCCUGUCGUGGGGGAUAACUAGUCGAAAGAUUAGCUAAUACCGCAUACGACCUGAGGGUGAAAGCGGAGGACCGCAAGGCCUCGCGCGAUAGGAGCGGCCGAUGUCUGAUUAGCUAGUUGGUGGGGUAAAGGCCCACCAAGGCGACGAUCAGUAGCUGGUCUGAGAGGACGAUCAGCCACACUGGGACUGAGACACGGCCCAGACUCCUACGGGAGGCAGCAGUGGGGAAUUUUGGACAAUGGGGGCAACCCUGAUCCAGCAAUGCCGCGUGUGUGAAGAAGGCCUUCGGGUUGUAAAGCACUUUUGUCCGGAAAGAAAUCCCCUGCUGUAAUACAGCGGGGGGAUGACGGUACCGGAAGAAUAAGCACCGGCUAACUACGUGCCAGCAGCCGCGGUAAUACGUAGGGUGCAAGCGUUAAUCGGAAUUACUGGGAAUAG
This 561-nucleotide ribosomal RNA is filed under the name uncultured bacterium. Its description in RNAcentral is "bacterial SSU rRNA". It matches the Rfam family "Bacterial small subunit ribosomal RNA", at positions 1 to 563 of the family's 1533-position model. The record is from RNAcentral.